ACCUACGGAAACCUUGUUACGACUUCUCCUUCCUCUAAAUGAUAAGGUUCAAUGGACUUCUCGCGACGUCCUGCUGGGUGUUUACAAAGGGCAGGGACGUAGUCAACGCGAGCUGAUGACACGCGCUUACUAGGAAUUCCUCGUUGAAGACCAACAAUUGCCAUGAUCUAUCCCCAUCACGAUGAAAUUUCAAAGAUUACCCGGGCCUGUCGGCCAAGGCUAUAAACUCGUUGAAUACAGAAGUGUAGCGCGCGUGCGGCCCAAAACAUCUAAGGGCAUCACAGACCUGUUAUUGCCUCAAACUUCCGCGGCCAAAAAGGUCGUAGUCCCUCUAAGAAGCUGGCCGCGAAGGGAUACCUCCGCAUAGCUAGUUAGCAGGCUGAGGUCUCGUUCGUUAACGGAAUUAACCAGACAAUACCUCCGCAUAGCUAGUUAGCAGGCUGAGGUCUCGUUCGUUAACGGAAUUAACAAGACAAAUCGCUCCACAAACUAAGUCGGGGUUUUAUCUAAUAAAUGCAUCUCUUCCAGAAGUCAGGGUUUGUUGCACGUAUUAGCUCUAGAAUUACUACAGUUAUCCGAGAUGUAGAUACCAUCAAACAAACUAUAACUGAUUGAAUGAGGCAUUCGCAGUUUCACAGUCUGAAUUUGUUCAUACUUACACAUGCAUGGCUUAAUCUUUGUGACAAGCAUAUGACUAUUGGCAGGGUCAACCAGGUAGCAUUCCUCAUUGACGCUGGCAUCGCAUGAGCGUGGCCGACCCAAAAGGGCACGGCCAAGUCCAAGGCGAGCACGACCGUCAUUCGUAAGGAGCAUUCUUUGGGCAGAUAGAAGCCAAUGAAGGCCCCGUGCCUAUUUCGUAUACCAAAUCCGAGAGCCCGAUCAUGCUAAGUUGUGGACCAAGCCAUCGCAAGGCGAAGCCAGGACGACCUGGGACACAACUGCAGCUUUUGGUUCCUUGACUGAGAUGGCAUGCGAGCUAGGACGUUGCUGGUCGAGGAAGGAGCCAACCUAGUCACACAAGCCGAACACCACUCUUGUGCCGCACGUAUACUUGCCUCGCCGAUACAAAGCCAACACAAGCCCCAACACGUGACGCGCAGCGAUGUAUUGUUGCCGAUGCCAACAUUGCAAACCAAGACAACCCCCGCAAAGCACGAAUAGGGGGUUUGAGCAAUGCCAGACACAACCCACAAUAACCAAUGGCAAUCGGCAACUUACUAAGCUUCGCCUCGUGUGAACGACACCUUGCUGCGCCACUUGCACGAUGCUUUGCCAUUUUGUUGCCAAAAGCCAUCAGCCGCCACGAGCGAUGUUGCCUCCCGAUGUUGCCCGCAACAACAGAUGGCAAUCAGCAACUUACUAAGCUUCCCCCCGUGCCCACGGCACCUUGCGGCGCUACUUGCACGAUGCUUUGGCAAUUUGUUGCCAAAAGCCAUCAGCCGCCAUGAGCGAUUUCGCCUCACGAUGUUGCCCGCAACGACCGAUGGCAAUCAGCAACUUACUAAGCUUUGCCCCGUGCGCACGGCAAAUUGCGGCGCUACUUGCACGAUUCUUUGCCAUUUUGUUGCCAAAAGCCAUCAGUUACCACGAGCGAUGUCGCCUCCCGAUGUUUCCCGCAACAACCGAUGGCAAUGAACAUCUACUGAGCUUUGCCCCGUGCGCACGGAACCUUACGGCGCUACUUCCAUGAUGCUCCGCCGUUCGUUGUCAAAAGCCAUAAGACGCCAUGGAGACACAACCCACAACAAUCGAUGGCAAUAGGCAACUUUCUCCGUUUCGCCCCAUGCGCACGGCACCUUGCGGCGCUACUUGUACGACGCUCCGCCGUUCCAUUGACGAAAGCCAUCAACCGCCAUGAGCGAUGUUGCCCGCAACAACCGAUGGCAAUCGACAUCUAUUGAGCAUCGCCCCAUGCGCACGGCACCUUGCGGCGCAACUUGCACGAGGCUCGGCCGUUCGUUGUUGAAAGCCAUCAGCCUCUACGAGAUAUUCCAGACACAACCCACAACAACCGAUGGCAAUCAACAACAACUUACUAAGCUUCNNNNNNNNNNNNNNNNNNNNNNNNNNNNNNNNNNNNNNNNNNNNNNNNNNNNNNNNNNNNNNNNNNNNNNNNNNNNNNNNNNNNNNNNNNNNNNNNNNNNNNNNNACUCCCCACCUGACAAUGUCUUCCGCCCGGAUCGGCCUGCAAGCAAGCCUUGGGUCCAAAAAGAGGGGCAGUGGCACCUUGCGGCGCUACUUGCACGAUGCUUUGCCGUUCUGUUGUCAAAAGCCAUCAGCCUCCACGAGCGAUGUCGCCUCCCGAUUUUUCCCACAACAUCCAAUGGCGAUAAACAAGUACUAAGUUCUCCCCAUGCGCGCGGCACCUUGCUGCACUACUUGCAUGACGUUCCACCGUGCAUUUCCAAAAGCCAAUGUUUGCCACGAGCGGUGCCAGCACCAGGAUUACUACGAGCCCACACGAGUACUUGCUGGCACUGUUUGGGAACAUCGAGGACGUAGCACGGACAAGCCGUGCAUGCCCCCAAUACCCACGCCCCAUGCCAGCGUCCCCAAUGCAUGCCCGCCCCUUCCUGGCAGCAAGCACCUGACGUGCCUCUAAACACCUCUACCACCCUAAUAUAUGCUUAAAAAAAAACCCAAGUUUCAAGAGUAGACUUGUUUUGUCCAGAGAAUCAUAAUAGACAUGUACAACACCAAAUAGCACAAACCAAAGUACAACUUGGCUAAUAUAUUGACAAAUGACUUUUAAGUUUCAAGAGUAGACUUGUUUUGUCCAGAGAAUCAUAAUAGACAUGUACAACACCAAAUAGCACAAACCAAAGUACAACUUGGAUAAUAUAUUCACAAAUGAAUUUUAAACAUUGUAAAUGAUAUUUUUUUUUAAAACUUAUACUUUUUUGAUAUAUUUUUAUUUAAAAACGAAAAACACUUAAUAAAAUACUAAAAAUUAUGAAAAUUAUUAUAAUAAUAGAAAAAAUGAUGGAGAAAAAUUCCAAUACAACUUGUAAUAGUAUAAUAUAUAAAAGAGAAAAUAUUUUUAUUAAAAAGUGACAUAAAAAUAAUUUAAAAUAAGAAGAAAUGCAUAUAAAUUACUACAUAUAUUAAAAAUAGGAAAAAUGCAUAAUAUUAUUAUUAAAGCGUAUAGAUGACCAAACGCCAAUAAGCACGAGGCACCACCAUUGUCGCAACCACAACAAGUGAUUGCGAUUUGAAAAAACCGCUGCCAACCACAAAGCGUCGACCAACCGUCGUCGGUGGAUACCGCUCGAGCCACCGCGACUUUCCACCACCGCCACCAACGACCACCAACAUCAUUGCGCUUGACGUGUUGCCCAGUAGAUACCGCUCGAGCCAAUGCGACUUUACACCACCGCCACCAAUUACCACAAAAAUCAUUGCGCUUGACGUGUUGCCCAACCACAACAAGUGAUUAGGAUUUGAACAAACCGCUGCCAACCACCAAGCGUCGGCUGACUGUCGCCCAACGCUACCGCUCGAACCACCCCGUUUCCACCGCCGCCGCCAACGACCACCAACAUCAUUGUGCUUGACAUGAUUCUAAGCAUUGGUUAGCAAUAGAGGUGGUGCGAUGUGGUGCGGUAUCGUGCCAUGGCCAUAUCCUUCCAUCUACUGCGACGUCCUGUCACGUACCAUGGCCAUGUCCUGACACGUACCAUGGCCAUGUCCUGACAUGUCCUGAAACGUACCAUGACCAUAUCCUGCCAUGUCUUGCAACGUACUGACACGUACCAUGGCCAUGUCCUAACGCGUCCUAACACGUGCCAUGGCCAUGUCUUGACACGUACCAUGGCCAUGUCCUGACACGUCCUGACACGUACCACGGCCAUAUCCUGCCAUGUCCUGCGACGUCUUGACUCGUGCCAUGGCCCCGCCCUGCCAUGUCCUGACGAGUCANNNNNNNNNNNNNNNNNNNNNNNNNNNNNNNNNNNNNNNNNNNNNNNNNNNNNNNNNNNNNNNNNNNNNNNNNNNNNNNNNNNNNNNNNNNNNNNNNNNNNNNNNNNNNNNCCAUGUCUUGACACGUACCAUGGCCAUGUCCUGACACGUCCUGACACGUACCACGGCCAUAUCCUGCCAUGUCCUGCGACGUCCUCACUCCUGCCAUGGCUACGCCCUGCCAUGUCCUGACGCGUCUUGACACGUGCCAUGGCCAUGUUCUGACACGUCUUGACUCGUGCCAUGGCCACGCCAUGCCAUAUCCUGCGACAUCUCGACUCGUGCCAUGGCCACGCCCUGCCAUGUCCUGACGCGUUCUGACACGUGCCAUGGCCAUUUCCUGAUGCGUCCUGACAUGUACCAUUGCCACGCCCUGCCAUCCACUAUGACGUCAUGAGUCAUGACAUGGCCACGCCCUGCCAUGUCUUGCGACGUCUGGACUCAUGCCAUGGCCACGCUCUGCCAUGUCCUGCGACGUCUCCACUCGUGCCAUGGCCAUGCCCUGCCAUGUCCUGACACGUACCAUGGCCAUGUCCUGAUGCGUCUUGCGACGUCCUGACUCUUGCCAUGGCUACGCCGUGCCAUGUCCUGCACCGUCAUGAGUCAUGCCAUGGUCACGCCCUGCCAUGUCCUGCCAUGUCCUGAUGUGUCAUGACAUGUCCUGACACGUGCCACUGCCAUGUCUUGACGUGUCCUGACACGUGCCGCUACCAUAUCCUGAAGCGUCCUGACACGUGCAUUGCCAUAUCCUGCCGCACCGCUCCCGAGUUUUUAAACAAGACCUCGGUUUGUGCUGCCUUGCAGGUUUCGACAAUGAUCCUUCCGCAGGUUCAGCUACGGAAACCUAGAUAUGACUUCUCCUUCCUCUAUUUGAUAAGGUUCAAUGGACUUCUCACGACGUCGCAGGCAGCACACCGCCCACAUCGCAGCGAUCCUAACAUUUCACCGGAUCAUUCAAUCUAUAGGAGCGAAGGGCGGUGUGUACAAAGGGCAUGGACGUAGUCAACACGAGCUGAUUACUUGCGCUUACUAGGAAUUCCUCGUUGAAGACCAACAAUCGCAAUGAUCCAUCCCCAUCAAGAUGAAUUUUCAAAGACUACCCGGGCCUGUCGGCCAAGGCUAUAAACUCGUUGAAUACAUCAGCGUAGCGCGCGUGCGGCCCAGAACAUCUAAGGGUAUCACAGACCUGUUAUUGCCUCAAACUU
This 5162-nucleotide long non-coding RNA is filed under the name Nicotiana benthamiana. Its description in RNAcentral is "long non-coding RNA (NBEN_LNC005838)". The record is from RNAcentral. Lineage: Eukaryota; Viridiplantae; Streptophyta; Magnoliopsida; Solanales; Solanaceae.